Molecule: ribosomal RNA, 254 nt
Filed under: uncultured bacterium
Lineage: Bacteria
Description: partial 16S ribosomal RNA
Rfam family: Bacterial small subunit ribosomal RNA
Source: RNAcentral
UACAGAGGGUGCGAGCGUUAAUCGGAAUUACUGGGCGUAAAGGGUGUGUAGGUGGUUAAAGUAAGUCAGGUGUAAAAGCCCCGGGCUCAACCUGGGAAAGUCGCUUGAUACUGCUUAGCUAGAGUACUAUAGAGGAUAGUGGAAUUUCCAGUGUAGCGGUGAAAUGCGUAGAUAUUGGAAGGAACACCAGUGGCGAAGGCGACUAUCUGGAUAGAGACUGACACUGAGACACGAGAGCAUGGGUAGCAAACAGG